Molecule: long non-coding RNA, 804 nt
Organism: Eucalyptus grandis
Lineage: Eukaryota; Viridiplantae; Streptophyta; Magnoliopsida; Myrtales; Myrtaceae
Exons: 5
Source: RefSeq, a predicted model, not a curated record
CUCGACCGAUCGUUCGGCUGGGGACUCUGCUCAUAUCUCACAGCGUCCUCGUCAGUGUCAUCUGCUGCGUUGCGGGGGUUCUGGCUCUGCUUUUGCUGCCGAUUCUCGCCAAGAACACCUACAUUUCAGAAAACGCCCUCAUGCCAGGUCGAUACUCGUUCUUUCUCUGUGAAUUUAAUUGACUGAUACCGUUUAGCGUUUUCGUUACUGUCGUGUUCUUCCUUUUGACCUCCUCCGAUGUAAGAUGCAGCACUACAUUUCUCUCCAUCGUGCAAUUAGCGAAUAGCAUACUCUAACUGAGAAGAACGCUCUCUCUCCUCCGCUGGUUGCCCACGACGCCAACGCUGACGCCCACCUCCGCCUCCGCCUCCUCAUCCGCCAACGCCGACGCACUCUCUCCUCUGCUGGUUGCCCGCAACGCCGACGCCGACGCCCACACCCACCUCCGCCUCCUCCGACACGUGUCUCCAUCAUUUGUUCUAAUAUUGGAUAGUUCUUUGUUUGACAAAGGAUACUGUUGUUGAUGCUGGAAUAUUCGAUGGAUCAUUAGGUGUUAUCUUAGCAAUAUCUGCACUGAAGGUUCUGAAUGCCCGCGGAAAGUUGGGCAAUCUAUUGUGGCCAGUCGAGGUAAUCACUUUUAGUGAUGAAGAGGGAGUUAGAUUCCAAUCUACCUUCCUAGCGGUGUAAUUGUACAAGAGGCUUUUAAAGAGAACUCCAUACAAAUCAGUGAGGAAAACUUACACAACCUCAAGUAUGACCGAGAUUCUGUUUGGGGUUAUGUUGAGGUUCACAUCGAACAAGGAC